RNAcentral lists this ribosomal RNA (274 nucleotides) under uncultured bacterium. Its description in RNAcentral is "partial 16S ribosomal RNA". It matches the Rfam family "Bacterial small subunit ribosomal RNA", at positions 523 to 796 of the family's 1533-position model. The record is from RNAcentral.
AUACGGAGGGUGCAAGCGUUACUCGGAAUCACUGGGCGUAAAGCGCGCGCAGGCGGUCUUUUAAGUUGGAUGUGAAAGCCUACGGCUCAACCGUAGAACUGCAUCCAAAACUAUUAGACUAGAGUGUGGGAGAGGAAGAUGGAAUUAGUUGUGUAGGGGUAAAGUCCGUAGAGAUAACUAGGAAUACCAAAAGCGAAGGCAAUCAUCUGGAACACUACUGACGCUGAGGCGCGAAAGCGUGGGGAGCAAACAGGAUUAGAAACCCCGGUAGUCC